This 163-nucleotide unclassified non-coding RNA is filed under the name uncultured Alatospora. RNAcentral describes it as "sequence contains ITS1". The record is from RNAcentral. Lineage: Eukaryota; Fungi; Ascomycota.
CAGAGUCAUUAUGGGUUAACGCCCUAAUACUCCACCCUUUGUUUACAUUACCUUUGUUGCUUUGGCAGGCCCGCUUUGGCCGCCGGCUCUCAGCUGGUCAGUGCCUGCCAGAGGAUCUAAAACUCUUGUUUAAUCAUAUUGUCUGAGUACUAUAUAAUAGUUA